AUGCACGCUGGCGGCGUGCCUAAUACAUGCCCGUCGAGCGAACGGACGAGAAGCUUGCUUCUCUGAUGUUAGCGGCGGACGGGUGAGUAACGCGUGGAUAACCUACCUAUAAGACUGGGAUAACUUCGGGAAACCGGAGCUAAUACCGGAUGAUAUUUUGAACCGCAUGGUUCAAAAGUGAAAGACGGUCUUGCUGUCACUUAUAGAUGGAUCCGCGCUGCAUUAGCUAGUUGGUAAGGUAACGGCUUACCAAGGCAACGAUGCAUAGCCGACCUGAGAGGGUGAUCGGCCACACUGGAACUGAGACACGGUCCAGACUCCUACGGGAGGCAGCAGUAGGGAAUCUUCCGCAAUGGGCGAAAGCCUGACGGAGCAACGCCGCGUGAGUGAUGAAGGUCUUCGGAUCGUAAAACUCUGUUAUUAGGGAAGAACAUAUGUGUAAGUAACUGUGCACAUCUUGACGGUACCUAAUCAGAAAGCCACGGCUAACUACGUG
RNAcentral lists this ribosomal RNA (496 nucleotides) under uncultured bacterium. RNAcentral describes it as "partial 16S ribosomal RNA". It matches the Rfam family "Bacterial small subunit ribosomal RNA", at positions 29 to 507 of the family's 1533-position model. The record is from RNAcentral.